UUUAUGGAGAGUUUGAUCCUGGCUCAGGAUGAACGCUGGCGGCGUGCCUAAUACAUGCAAGUCGAGCGAACAGAUAAGGAGCUUGCUCCUUUGACGUUAGCGGCGGACGGGUGAGUAACACGUGGGUAACCUACCUAUAAGACUGGAAUAACUCCGGGAAACCGGGGCUAAUGCCGGAUAACAUGUUGAACCGCAUGGUUCUACAGUGAAAGACGGUCUUGCUGUCACUUAUAGAUGGACCCGCGCCGUAUUAGCUAGUUGGUGGGGUAACGGCCUACCAAGGCGACGAUACGUAGCCGACCUGAGAGGGUGAUCGGCCACACUGGAACUGAGACACGGUCCAGACUCCUACGGGAGGCAGCAGUAGGGAAUCUUCCGCAAUGGGCGAAAGCCUGACGGAGCAACGCCGCGUGAGUGAUGAAGGUCUUCGGAUCGUAAAGCUCUGUUGUUAGGGAAGAACAAAUGUGUAAGUAACUGUGCACAUCUUGACGGUACCUAACCAGAAAGCCACGGCUAACUACGUGCCAGCAGCCGCGGUAAUACGUAGGUGGCAAGCGUUAUCCGGAAUUAUUGGGCGUAAAGCGCGCGUAGGCGGUU
Molecule: ribosomal RNA, 597 nt
Filed under: Staphylococcus pseudintermedius
Lineage: Bacteria; Bacillati; Bacillota; Bacilli; Caryophanales; Staphylococcaceae
Description: bacterial SSU rRNA
Rfam family: Bacterial small subunit ribosomal RNA
Source: RNAcentral